UCUCUUCAUAAUGAAUAAAUCUUUUUGCCUUUUACUAAAGGUUUCCGUGGAGAGU
Small nuclear RNA from Pongo abelii (Sumatran orangutan), 55 nucleotides. Its record names the gene U5. It matches the Rfam family "U5 spliceosomal RNA". From Rfam's summary of the family: U5 RNA is a component of both types of known spliceosome. The record is from Ensembl. Lineage: Eukaryota; Metazoa; Chordata; Mammalia; Primates; Hominidae.